This 564-nucleotide long non-coding RNA is filed under the name Anthonomus grandis grandis. RNAcentral describes it as "uncharacterized LOC126744888". The record is from RNAcentral. Lineage: Eukaryota; Metazoa; Arthropoda; Insecta; Coleoptera; Curculionidae.
CAGCAAAUAUGUGUUAUUAAAUCAAGUAUUCUGCGAUAUUGACAAAUAUGUCAAAAACAAAGUUAGUUGUCAUAUACCCGUGAUUAUAAAUAUUUCAAUCCGAAAAUAUAAUUUUGAAAAUGGCUGCAAAUGAUAAUAGCCGAUAUGUUAUAUCUGAAAGGAGCAGCACCGAACAGCACAUGGAUCAAGAGGUGCCAAUGCUAGAGUGGGACCAAACUAGGUUGCAGCAGGAAAUUGCAAGUGUCCUACAAAGAAAAACCUGGUCUGCAUAUAUUGGGUUACCGAACAACACCAAACAGCAGAUGAUGAUAACAUUUGACAGGCAUUUCAGACCCGCUUUGAGGAAAAUGAGUCGCGGUUCAUUAAUGACGUUUAUUUACGGCAUGCAGGAUCAGGAGGUGCCAAUGCCAGAGCUGGACCGAAGCAGGUUGCGGCAGGAGAUUUUAAGUUUCCUUCAAAGAAUAAGUAGGUCUGCAGACGAUGCGCUAAAUUAAACUUUUAUAAAUUAAGAAUAAGAACCUAAUUCCUUUUUUAUUUUAAUAAUAUAAAAUUAUGAUAAAUAGA